GAACGCCGUAGCAAUACGGAGUGGCAGACGGGUGAGUAACGCGUGGGAACAUGCCCUUCGGUUCGGAAUAACUCAGGGAAACUUGAGCUAAUACCGGAUACGUCCAAGGCUUGCCUUGGAGAAAGAUCUAUCGCCGGAGGAUUGGCCCGCGUCUGAUUAGCUAGUUGGUGGGGUAAUGGCUCACCAAGGCGACGAUCAGUAGCUGGUCUGAGAGGAUGAUCAGCCACAUUGGGACUGAGACACGGCCCAAACUCCUACGGGAGGCAGCAGUGGGGAAUAUUGGACAAUGGGCGCAAGCCUGAUCCAGCCAUGCCGCGUGAGUGAUGAAGGCCUUAGGGUUGUAAAGCUCUUUUGCCCGGGAAGAUAAUGACGGUACCGGGAGAAUAAGCCCCGGCCAACUUCGUG
RNAcentral lists this ribosomal RNA (405 nucleotides) under uncultured bacterium. Its description in RNAcentral is "bacterial SSU rRNA". It matches the Rfam family "Bacterial small subunit ribosomal RNA", at positions 64 to 507 of the family's 1533-position model. The record is from RNAcentral.